AUGAGAGAUACCAUGGUGGCGACCAGAUUCACACUGCGGCAAGUGGUGGAGGACCGGGCAACGAGGGAACUUCAUCACGGUAGAUGCGUUGGGGGGCUCUACCCCAUCACAUCCGGAGCACUCAGUCGCAAUCGGCGUCAAGUUUAUUCUGCCACUAAACCCUCCUUAGAAAGGUGGCAUCAAAGAUUAGGACACCCAUCAUCAAUCAUAGUUAAGCAAGUAGUCAAUAAAGACAAACUUUCUUUGUCACAUAGUCAAAAUAGUGAGUCAGUUUGUGAAGCUUGCCAGUGUGCCAAGAGCCACCAACUUCCUUAUCCCAAGUCAAAUAGUGUAUCUCAUGCUCCUUUAGAGCUUAUU
Molecule: ribosomal RNA, 357 nt
Filed under: Triticum aestivum (bread wheat)
Lineage: Eukaryota; Viridiplantae; Streptophyta; Magnoliopsida; Poales; Poaceae
Description: partial small subunit ribosomal RNA
Source: RNAcentral